Molecule: small RNA, 108 nt
Filed under: Marmota monax (woodchuck)
Lineage: Eukaryota; Metazoa; Chordata; Mammalia; Rodentia; Sciuridae
Source: RNAcentral
GCCAGGUGUGGUGGUGUACACCUGUAAUCUCAGCUACUUGGGAGGCUGAGACUGGAGGAUAACAAAUUUGUGUCUAGCCUGGGCAAUUUAGCCAGAUCCCUAUCUCAA